UGGGGAAUUUUGGACAAUGGGCGCAAGCCUGAUCCAGCCAUGCCGCGUGUCUGAAGAAGGCCUUCGGGUUGUAAAGGACUUUUGUCAGGGAAGAAAAGGAUAGGGUUAAUACCCCUGUCUGAUGACGGUACCUGAAGAAUAAGCACCGGCUAACUACGUGCCAGCAGCCGCGGUAAUACGUAGGGUGCGAGCGUUAAUCGGAAUUACUGGGCGUAAAGCGAGCGCAGACGGUUACUUAAGCAGGAUGUGAAAUCCCCGGGCUCAACCUGGGAACUGCGUUCUGAACUGGGUAGCUAGAGUAUGUCAGAGGGGGGUAGAAUUCCACGUGUAGCAGUGAAAUGCGUAGAGAUGUGGAGGAAUACCGAUGGCGAAGGCAGCCCCCUGGGAUAAUACUGACGUUCAUGCUCGAAAGCGUGGGUAGCAAACAGGAUUAGAUACCCUGGUAGUCCACGCCCUAAACGAUGUCAAUUAGCUGUUGGGCAACUUGAUUGCUUAGUAGCGUAGCUAACGCGUGAAAUUGACCGCCUGGGGAGUACGGUCGCAAGAUUA
Molecule: ribosomal RNA, 549 nt
Filed under: uncultured bacterium
Lineage: Bacteria
Description: bacterial SSU rRNA
Rfam family: Bacterial small subunit ribosomal RNA
Source: RNAcentral